This 397-nucleotide ribosomal RNA is filed under the name Mastus olivaceus. RNAcentral describes it as "partial 16S ribosomal RNA". It matches the Rfam family "Archaeal large subunit ribosomal RNA", at positions 2027 to 2691 of the family's 2987-position model. Lineage: Eukaryota; Metazoa; Mollusca; Gastropoda; Stylommatophora; Enidae. The record is from RNAcentral.
GCUAAGGUAACANAAUAAUUUGUCUUUUAAUUGAAGACGGGUAUGAAAGGCAUCAUGGAGAUAGACUGUCUUAUAGGAAUUUUUUAAAAUUUUCUAAGAAGGUGAAAAUUCCUUUAUAUUUUAAAUAAGACGAGAAGACCCUUAGAAUUAUAACGAGACUUGUUUUAAGUAAAGUUUUUGUUGGGGCAACAUUGUCAAAAUUGAAACUGAUAAAUACUAAAUUUAGAACAAAACCAUUAUCUUAUAUAGGAAUUUAAUUACCUAAGGGAUAACAGCAUAAUUCAUAUAUGAGAGUAUGACCUCGAUGUUGGACUAAGGACUUUUUGCGCUAGACGUGGAAAAAGAUGGUUCUGUUCGAACUAUAAUACCUUACGUGAUCUGAGUUCAGACCGGNCGC